This is a non-coding RNA of Bombyx mori (domestic silkworm), 84 nucleotides long. The record is from Rfam. Lineage: Eukaryota; Metazoa; Arthropoda; Insecta; Lepidoptera; Bombycidae.
UUAACUCAAAUUUGUAUGGACUUGGAACGUUUGCCUACGUUUGCCGCUAGGGGCGCUGUUACUACUCCAUACAAAUUUAAGUUA